This 453-nucleotide ribosomal RNA is filed under the name uncultured bacterium. RNAcentral describes it as "bacterial SSU rRNA". It matches the Rfam family "Bacterial small subunit ribosomal RNA", at positions 8 to 507 of the family's 1533-position model. The record is from RNAcentral.
AGAGUUUGAUCAUGGCUCAGAACGAACGCUGGCGGCAGGCUUAACACAUGCAAGUCGAACGGAUCCUUCGGGAUCAGUGGCGGACGGGUGAGUAACGCGUGGGAACCUACCCUGGGGUGGGGAAUAACCUUGGGAAACCGAGGCUAAUACCGCAUACGCCCUAUUGGGGAAAGACUAUGUUGCCCUGGGAUGGGCCCGCGUCCGAUUAGCUAGUUGGUGGGGUAAUGGCCUACCAAGGCUGCGAUCGGUAGCUGGUCUGAGAGGAUGAUCAGCCACACUGGGACUGAGACACGGCCCAGACUCCUACGGGAGGCAGCAGUGGGAAUAUUGGACAAUGGGGGCAACCCUGAUCCAGCCAUGCCGCGUGAGUGAAGAAGGCCUUAGGGUUGUAAAGCUCUUUCACCCGUGACGAUGAUGACGGUAGCGGGAGAAGAAGCCCCGGCUAAUUCCGUG